CACCGACUGGAAACAUUGACCACCGAGUAGCAUAACUUCCUUCUGAUCCUUAAGUCUUCUAAGCAGAGAGCUAAGUGAGUAUAAGAAGAAAAAUUCGUUGGCUGUACCAAUUCACUGACUGCAGUAGAGAGCAACGAACUAGACAGUUCAUUCCUUUCUUCCUUUCUUGUUUUCUUUCUAAAAUAGAAUCGAGUGUGAGGAAAAAGAAUUUUGCAAGCUUCACCAUCAGCUAACCAAAAUAAAGCAAACAAAGGCAGAGAGACAGGAGAGAUAGCUGGUGCAGACGUGAGGGAACAAGCUGGAAAGAAAAUCUAAUCCUGUCUGCAAUUCCUAACACUAAAAGGCAAAAGGUAAAUUUUUGUGACUAAUCUCUACUUACUGAGUAUAAAUAAGUGUAUAUUCGAAUUGUAAGCCGAGUAUUAGCAGAGGAAAUUGAGCUUCGACUGAGGAAAAAUUCUGGUUUGAAAUCUGAAGGUUCACUGACUGGACCUGUGAGAAUUGAGUGAUGAUCGACUGAAAUUGCAGGUUGUUAUCAAAGGAAAAUGGAAGAGUGUUGUAGAAAAUGUAUGAAAAUGCCUGUUUCUGGCAUAAAGUGAAAUUUAGCUGUAGAAACUUGUAAAAGUUGGAACUUUAAGCUGAAUUUAUUGAAAGAAACCUGAUGAAAAUCUGUUAGCUUCACACGAGAGAAAUGGAGCUAAGAAACAUUAGCUGUCUUCUGCAAAUUUGGCUUUUAAACUUUUGUAUCAAGCUGUGAUGUGUUAUAAAACAUCUUAACUUCGUCAAGCAAGACAGAAAUGAGUGGAAACUAAAGUGAACGAAGAAUGAAUUUAAUUGACUGCAGGUAGGUUGGCCGAGGGAAUGAAGCAGGCUAUGCAACUUGUUGUUGCUGAUUCUGGAACUUUUAUUAAUGAACACAUAGAAAAUAUGUUAAUCCCUUGAUUUAACAGAUAGGUGCCUUUGAAAUUAGCAACCUUAAGAAAAGUCUAGCUGAAUUUGGUAAAAGAAAGCUGAUGCAAUCUGCUAUGAUACUAAAGGGAAGGAAAUCAGCUUUUGGAGCAGCUUGUCUUCUAAUGUCUGAUUCUGUGAACUUCCACAGGUAGAACUAAGGUUACUCUGUGGUUUAGUAACUAUGACUAGUUCCAUGAGUAGAGUUGAACUAAGGCAAAUAGGGAGGAAAACUAUGAAAUGUGCUGCUGAAUUACCUCAUGGCCGAGAGAAGAAGGGAAGAGUUGAUCAGUCUUUUCCUCUAAGUUAGCUGCAAAAUUUUCCACGUUCUGUACAGGGUUACUUUGUAGCUUAAUAAAUGUAAUUAACCUGUCUAGUUGGGAUAUAAAAUUGGAAGGAGGAACUUGAGAGAAACGGCAAACGUUGGACUGAUAUAUUGCUAGGAAGCUACUUGAAGGCCACGAUAGCUGAUGGCAGUUUUUGUAGGGGAAUUUGGUCGAAAAACCUGUUGAAAUUAUGAGUCAUGUACCUUAAUUCAUGUUGGACAGAAUGUGUAUUGUGUGUUUGGUGAUCUAGGCAAGUAAAAGUUAGAAACUCUACCAAAAACUUUGAAGUAAGGUUGCUGGAAAUUUGUUUAAUGGCCGAGAGAGGGGCUGAAACUCUCAUGUGAUAUUUGGAAAAUUUCAUGAUAAUUGGCUACCAUCUUGAAUGAGACGUUGUACAAUAUCCUGUCACUGUUCUUAUGUGCACUCUAUUGACUUUUAACAUCUGAAAGGUUGGUAAAACCUUAGGAAAUUCUAGCUAAAACUAGUAAAGAAAAGCUGAGAUCCAAACUAUUACAUUGUUGGAGAAACUAACGUUUGAUGGAAUGGAUUGCUGGAAAUAGAUGCUGCUUACCUUGAUCUAUGCUAGACCGAAAGUACAUUGAAAUACUUAAAACUGUAAGCAAGUAAAAGAGUAAAGUUUUAUUGAAAACUUGAAGUAUACAGCUGGAAUUUCGGUUUGUUGGUUGAAAUGGGGGUUAGUUAAGCUUUCUAUGAUAUUUUUGGAAACUCUAAGGUAACUCGUUAUAGCUAUAUACAUAACAUGGUUUCAAAUCACCUAAUCUUGUCCUCACAAGCAUUUUAAAGAUUUUAGAACUUGAAAGAUUUUAGAACUUGAAGGACUAGUAUAGAGAAAUAAAAUCUAAAUUACAAAUGGCUUAAAGUUAAUUAAUAAAAGGGAAUCAAUGGAGUGUUCCUAAGCUUUAAUCUUAGAAUAUUCAGUGGAAAAUGGUUUAAUUAUAAUUUAAAUAUUUUAUAAAUUAUACACUUGGAAAAUACAUAUAUUUCUUGGUUUAAAAUGAUAAAGUCAAAAAGUCGCGAAAUGAAAUGUAGAAUAAAUAUUGAAUAUAUUAUAUUUUGUAUUUUGAAGUCAAACUUGAUUUUAAUAGUUCAAAUAAUAGGGUAAUAAAUGGUAAAUGAACAUUUACAAAUUGUAUAUUUAUUUUAGAGUUAUAAAUUGUCUCAGGGGAUAGCUGUGAGCCAGGAAACAAACCCGAGACUCGAGAGUAAUUUAUUUGGAUAUUUGGUGAGUGUUUCCAAAAUUUAAUGUGUUUAACUGUUUAUGUUUACUGUCGCGCCCCUUUUUUUGAGAAAACUAAAUAAACGGUUUAAAAAGUGAAUUUUUGAUUUGAAAAAUGAAUCUUUGAUUUAAAAAGAAAAAUGGGCCUAAAUGGGACUUGUAAUGCGACGAUUUGGGCCCAAAAUAAGGUUUAAAAAGGGUUUUUGAAUAGAAAAUCGGAGUCGCCACUUGGUAUUGAGUUAAGGUGUACCAAGUCACCUAAAAAUGAAUUUUGAUGAAAUCAUGUAAAACCCUUUUUAAACGACUCCUAAGUCUACGAAAAUUAGAGAAAAAAGAUUCGGGAGUCACAUUUGAAGAAAGGGAAGGCAAGGACAAAAAUCCGAGGCAUCCUUUCAACCUAGCCAAGGCUAGUUGCGUGAUUUAGUCAAAGAUUUUCUUGUUUUAACCUAAAGAUUUAUCACAUUUGAAUGUGCUAUAUGAAUGCAAACUGUAGACACCAAAUUUUUACUCUUUUAUUUAUUUAUUUACUAUUUUUGUUUAAUUUAUCUCAAAAUUUCAUUUUUUUAGCAUUUUGGACAUCAAAUCUUUUAAUUUAGUUUUACUUGUUAAUUUUAUUCAUUUUUGCUUAUUUGUCUAUUAGUUUUAAGACGUUUAAGCAUUAAUAUUUUUCGGGAAAAAAGAGAAUUGCUCACAAAAAAAAUAUUCUUUAAAUUUUAGAUUCAAUUUAGGGAGGUUUGCUAUUUAUUUAUUUUGUUAAAAAAAAAAAAGGGCUCAUGCACCAUGCGGCACUGGAUCCAAGCUCUUUCUCAAUAUUUCAAGGCAGAAACAAGCUUCAGACAUCACAAAAAAAUUGCAGCUGGCUUUUUCUUCCCAUUUGAUUCGUUACUCCAAAGGGUUCCCAGUACAAACGGGAUCAAAGGGGCAAGAGCAGGCCACAUAAACCCAUUUCUGGGGUUUGACAUCUCGGCCUUCCAUCGUAGGUUGAGGUUUUGGGGUUCCUUUAAAUGCUAGAGCCGCAGCCAAGAAGGGGGGGUAACAACUGACGAAAGAGAGUGGGACGGCUAGGAAAAAUCUGGGACAAAGAAAUAGAGCGGUGGCGGAGACAGAGAGAAAAGAAAAACCAGGGGAAUGAGGAGAGCUUGAGAGGCUAGCGACGGCUGGGAGGUUGAACAGUGGCGAGGUUUUUGAUAGAGAAAGAAACUAAGAAAACGCAGGGCUGUGGGUGGUUGACGGCUAGAAAAGAAAGAGACUAGAGAGAGAGGAGGCUGAGGACGGCUAGGAAAAAGAAACCAGAGAGGAGAAAGGUGCAGCGGCUGGGGUCUUGGGAAUCUGGAGCUGACGGCUAGGGUUCUGGACAAGAAAGCUAAGGGUUUCAGAGAAGAUCUGGGGAAGUAAAGGGGCGGUAGAAAGAGAUCUGAAAGGGAGAAAACAGCAGAGGAAAAGGGAAAACGAGGUGCUGCUACCGCUGCAACAAAUCUGCCUGGGCGUUGUUUUUCCCAGAAACCAACGUCACUUUCCUGAGCUUUCCCGUUUGAUUUACUUCACAGACGUUUGCAGGUGACUCUAGCCUUUCUUGCUGCCAUUUUCAUACCAUUUUGUGAAGAUCUGGGGUUCAUUGCAUGAAUUUCCUCCUUGUGCAUGCAUGUUUUGUUCCCUUUCUUUGUGGUUUCAUCUCUGGUUCUUUGUAGAAACCCGUGUGGCCAUGUGGUAACUUGUUUCAGCUCUAUAUCUCUGUGUUUGAAUCGUGUGUUGUUAUAGUUCAUGAAACCCAGGGUAUAGGAAUCAUUUCCAGCCUCCCCUUAGUCGAUGAUUAGUCUUCAUUUUGCCGAAAGGAGGUUGUAGAAAUUUUGGCAGGCUCUUUUCCUCUAAUUUUUGUAUUUAAACAUGAGAGUUUUGUGGCUCAAAGUGAAAAAUGUGCGGUCAUGUUGUAACUUUGAUUCAUGUUUCAUCGAUUAAAUCCAGUAGUGGUGUUUGAAUGAACAAAACCAGAAAACUGCAGCAAGAAACAGGCUACAGACGCAAAUGAAAGAAAGCUGCAUUUCUUUGUCAUGUUUUGCUGCUUUACUUUUGUCCUGUAACAGCCCACGAAGUUGAGUUUCCUCACUUUGUUUGCAUGCUCAAUCUUAUGUCAAUGAUAGUUGUAGAGAAAUUGAUGAGGCUUGGGUUUUGUUUAUAGCUUUGGCCAUCUUUCUGGUUUGUUAACAAGCUGCGAUAUGGUAGGAAAAAUGCAGCAGGCCUGCACUUUCGAUUGCUGAAGCUUUUAGUUUGAUUGAAAUUUGUGGUUUUAUACCAUGUACAUGCUCACACUGAGUUUCCUACUCUUGUAUCUUUGCUGCAUUUUUCACACACGAGCACUUUAGGUGAAUGUUUAAAUGUUGUUUUGAUCAAGCUUAGCUAGAGGUUGCUGAAAUUCCAAAGUAGCGGGAAAAACCAUGAGUUGUCCAGAUUUUGUAUGCCCUUUUGGCCAACUUUUGGUGUUUAAAAUGAGAGGAUAAGAUAGUGGUCUUGUUAUUCUAAGGGUGAAACUUGUUAAGAGCUGCGGAAAACCUGCUAUUCUACAAAUUGCAGCAGAGAUGUUGGCCGCAAAUUGCAGAAAGCUUUGCUGCGCCUUUUAUUCUUCCUUCUUUUGCUAUUUAAUUUUUUUACCCUUGAUGGUCAGCCUCAGUUCUUGUUUCAAUCCUGCAAUGAAGUUGCAUGUUUAGUCAAUGAUUGAUACUUUAAAUCCUGGCAUUUGGUGGACAUGGUUGCAUGAUGAACUGGAAAGAAAGUCACGGCAGGAAUGGUGCAGAAAAGAAAACUCCUUCUACGUUGUUUGCAUGCAUGAAAUAAAGGAAAAAUUGCAUUUUAACCCUUUAAUUUGUGUUUAAUUCUAUUAUGGCCUGGAAAAUUGGGAAGACUAAUCAAUUGGGUCCCAUAAAAAUGUUGUCUUUGAUUGAUAUGUUCAAUGUAGUUCUUGGACAGAUCAUUCAUGAAUUUUAGAACGAAUUUUUGAGGUUUAAUCGUUUGAGGGCUUUAUGAUUUUGAUGUGUUUUUUUUUAGUGAAAUUUUUGAGUUUUGUUGUUUAAUUGUCACGAGUGAUCACUUUUUUCGUGAAUUUUAGCAUUUGAUUGAUAGGUCUCAUCUCAAGCCAUCAAUUUUGGUAUUUUAUUGUAGACCCUUAAAAUAAUUUUUUUUUAAUUUAAUCAUUUUAUUUAGGACCUUGUUUGCUUUAAUUUCUGGCAUAUGGAUGGUUUAUUUUAUGUCAAUACCCUAAGUGACUCCAUUUCGUGUUUAGUUUUCAUUUCGUGUUUAAUUUCAUGUAAUUAAUUAUUAAUUAAAGUGAUGCCUUGACCCUUUUUUUAUUUUUUGGAGGGUAAAUAAGUAAAUUCCGUCUCCUUAAGCCAUCAAUUCAAGGGAGGUACACUCUAUCCCUUAUUUUCACUUUAUUUGACCCUACGUGCAUAUAUGUGUCUUAUGUGUACAAUUGCAUGAUUUUAAGUGUUUAUUUCAUUUUUACUUUAUUUAUUUUUCUAGUUGCUUAUUUUUUGCUUUAAUUUUAGUUCAAUUUUAUCAUUUGGGAGGCACUUGAAUGCCAAGUUGUAAUAGUUAGGUUUAUUUUAUUCAUUCCUUCUUAUUUCCCCUUUUAAAUUGUAGUAGGCCUUCCCCCUAAAAAUGUAAUAGUUAGGGCCUUAAUUGUCUUGUGUGUUUUGCAUGUCUAUGUGUUAUGUGUUUAAUCGCUUUCUUAGGUUUUGGCAUCUAGAUAUGCAUGCUUAUGUGUUAUGUGAAUUACGUGCUCACAUGUCUACUUGCUUUAAUUAUGCAUAUUACUUAUAUAUGUGUAUGAUCGAUGCAAAUGCACGUAACCGUGGCUAGUCCAAUGCUAGUCAUGGUUGUCCCCUCGAGCUCUUACAAGUCCAAUGCUUGUGAGAGAGUGUAGAUGUGGGCUAGUCCAACGCUAGACCCAAUAGGGCCCCUUCUCGCUAGUACAUACUCGCAUGCCUUCACUACAUCUUCAUUCAUUCUUUCCUUUUAGUUUUACACUUUUGCAUGACCCUUCACUCCCUUUCCCUUGCACAUUUAGGAUUGCAUUUUCAUUUAGACUAGCUCAUUUGCUUGUAUAGGUUAGGAAGUCACCCUUCUGGUAAGGGAAACGAGCGAGUAUGGCUACACAUAGCCUUAGCACGCUAGUUCUUCAUUCUAACCAAAAGGCAAAUUAAAAGUCACGACUUAGAGUCUCCCCGUACCCAUCUUGCUUGCACUCCUCUAGGGUUCAUGCAUUUCAUUUACCCCCUAUCAUCUCACACAACUCUUAUUUUGUACAUCUUCACUCUACCACUCGCACUUUAUAUACUAUCACUUGCACACAUGCACUUUAUGCUAUCACACAUACAUUUUACACUAUCACUUUACAUACCUCACAUUGCACACUCAUUUUUGCACACUCCCACUCAUACACCAUUAUCUUUUAGUACUUUUCUUUUUACUUCACACAAGCUCAUGUUUUCACAUUACAUACAUUCAUUCCACUCAUUCUUACGUCAUUAGCAUUAUUCAUGACCUCUCCAAAGGAUCAUUAUUGGGCAUCACAAUUAAUGUGAUUGGCACCACUCAAUCUUUGAAGAGAAAUUUUGCCCCCGAUGUCCCCCUAGGUCUAGGUUUUGCAUUCAUAAAGUGCAUCCAAAUGUGAUAAAUGUUUUGGUUAAAACAAGAAAAUCUUUGACUAAAUCGCGCAACUAGCCUUGGCUAGGUCGAAGGGGUGCCUUGGAUUUUUAUCCUUGCCUUCCCCUUCGAGUCAAAUGUGACUCCCGAACCUUUUUCGUUGGUUUACGUAGACUAGGAGUCGUUUAAAAGGGAUUUUCUUUUUACCUUUUCCUCUAAAAAAUCAUUUUUAGGUGACUUGGUACACCUUAACUCUAUACCAAGUGGCGACUCCGAUUUUUAUUUCAAAAACCUUUUUAAACUAUAUUUUGGGUCAAAUCGUCGCAUUUUCAAGUCCCAUUUAGACCCACUUUCUUUGUAAAUCAAAAAUCACUUUUCAAAUCAAAAAUUCACUUUCAAAUCAUUUAUUUAUUUAUUUAAUUUAUUUUUCUUGUAAAAAAUGGGGCGCGACACAAACCCUAGACCUAGGGGGGCAUCGGGGGGCAAAAUUUCUCUUCAAAAGCUUGAAUGGUGCCAAUCACAUUAAUUGUGAUGCCCAAUAAAGAUUCUUUGGAGAGGUCACGAAUAAUGCAAAAUAUGAGACUCCAAGAAAAGAAAAGGGGUAAAAUAAUUAUAGAAAUAUACAUGUCCUAAAGGAGUGCAUCAUGUCGGGUACGGGGGACUAAUGUUCGUGACUCAAUUUUUCCUUUUAAUAGAGGGAAUACGGGCGUGCUAAGACUAGAAAGCCAAACUCGUCCAUAUCCCAUAUUCAAGGGGUAACUUCCUAACCUAUGCACGCAAAUGAGCUUAUUAACUAGAAUGAAAUGCAAAAACCCUAUUAUCAUACUUCAAAUGUGGGAAAAGGGCGAAGGGUCAUGCAAAAAUGUAAAAAUACUAAAAAGAAAAAAAAUGCAUGAACAUGAGAUGAAGGCAAGCGAAUGUACUAGCGAGGGACGGUCCUAUUGGAUCUAGCAUUGGACUAGUCCUUCACUAGUGCUCUCUCACAAGCAUUGGAUUUGUAAGAGCUCGAGGGGAAGACCAUGACUAACGUUGGACUAGCCACGGUUUCGUGCAUUUGCAUCCAUCAUACAUACAUAAGUAAAUGUGCAUAAUUAAAGCGAGUAGGCAUGUGAGCACGUAAUUCACAUAACACAUAAUACAUAAGCAUGCAUAUCUAGACGCCUAACCCUAAGAAAGCAAUUAAACACAUAGCAAAUAUGCAUGCAAAUCGCACAAAGAAAAAAACAAAGAAACCCUAACUAUUACAUUAGGAGGGGGAAGCCUACUACAAUCUAAAAGGGGAAAUAAGAAGGAAUAAAACAAUUAAAUUCCUAACUAUUACAAUUUUGGCAUUCGAGUGCCUCCCAAAUGAUAAAAUUGUACUAAAAUUAAAGCAAAAACUAAGCAACUAAAGAAAUAAAUAAAGUGAAAAUGAAAUAAACACUUAAAGUCAUGCAAUUGC
RNAcentral lists this long non-coding RNA (8587 nucleotides) under Coffea arabica (coffee). RNAcentral's name for it is "long non-coding RNA (CARA_LNC002596)". The record is from RNAcentral. Lineage: Eukaryota; Viridiplantae; Streptophyta; Magnoliopsida; Gentianales; Rubiaceae.